Molecule: long non-coding RNA, 899 nt
Organism: Carassius gibelio (silver crucian carp)
Lineage: Eukaryota; Metazoa; Chordata; Actinopteri; Cypriniformes; Cyprinidae
Exons: 3
Source: RefSeq, a predicted model, not a curated record
GUUCAGGCCAGGACUCUUAUCAAACAUGUGAAGUUUGGGGAAGAUUGAACAUUUUAUGCUUGAGUUACAACAACUUCUCUUGCUGUGGCAAGACAUCAAAUUUUGUCAUGGCGCCAUGGAAACGCCCUUUAACAAAAACUCAAGAUCUACAAAGUUAACAUUGCACAGGCCUUUAGAUUAGACUGACCACAAAAAAUACAUUGAUGUCAUAAAAUUUCUAGGAGUAGUUCAUUGCAGUGUAAAAUAUGUCACUUCCUGUUGCCAGUAGGUGGCGCUAUGACUAUAACUGAAUAUGGGCAUGUCAAUCUGUUCAGGUCAGGAGUCUCAUCAAACAUGUGAAGUUUGGGGCAGAUUGGUCAUUGUAUGUCUGAGUUAUAGCAACUUCCUGUUUCAUGGCGAAUCAUCGAAAUUCGCCAGGCCGCCACGGACACGCCCAUUAACGAAAACUCAAAAGCUUCGCAAUUUAACAUCGCAAAGGCCUUCAGAUUAGGCAUACCAAAUUUGGUGUUGAUCUGAAUGAAUCUCUAUGAGGAGUUCGUUAAAAUACAACGCAUGGAAAUGACAAAAAUGACACAAAAUUUGCUCAUAAUAUUAGUAAUAACCGACUUCCUGUUGGGUUUCGGAUUUUGCUCCAAGAGACUUUUUUGUAGAUAUUGGAGAGUUACAUGUGUAUACCGAUUUUCAUACAUGUACAUGAAACGUAGCUCGAGGCGCACACCGUUGAACGUGUAUAGGUGGCGCUGUUGAGCCAUUUUGGCACACCCACUUCUGAAACCCAUAUCAGACGUAAAUUUUCGCCAGUUCUGAGGUGUGUGCAAAGUUUCAUGACUUUUCGAGCAUGUUUAGGCCGUCAAAAAUGCGAUUCAUCUUAGAGAAGAAGAAUAAUAAUAAUAAGAAUA